Molecule: non-coding RNA, 271 nt
Filed under: Paenibacillus sp.
Lineage: Bacteria; Bacillati; Bacillota; Bacilli; Caryophanales; Paenibacillaceae
Description: T-box sequence
Rfam family: T-box leader
About the family: Uncharged tRNA acts as the effector for transcription antitermination of genes in the T-box leader family. T-boxes are found upstream of many aminoacyl-tRNA synthetase genes and some amino acid biosynthetic genes usually in Gram-positive bacteria.
Source: RNAcentral
AUAAACGCGAUGAAGAGAAGAGUAAAUGAACAGAAUUCCUCAUCAGAGAGCUCCGGAAGCUGAGAAGGAGCAGGAAGUCUGCCGUUGAAUCAAGCCUCUGAGCAGCGCAUCGGAACCUGGGAUUUAAGGCGAUGGUGUGACAGGAGCUCCUGUUAUAGAGCUAGAGUAUAAGUAUAUUGCCAGGGCAUUAUGCCGUACUUGAAGAGGUGGAUACAGUGAUGUAUUCAUGAAGCAGGGGUGGCAGCACGGUUGAUCAAAUCUCGUCCCCAAG